This 5687-nucleotide long non-coding RNA is filed under the name Brassica rapa (field mustard). RNAcentral's name for it is "long non-coding RNA (BRAP_LNC006505)". The record is from RNAcentral. Lineage: Eukaryota; Viridiplantae; Streptophyta; Magnoliopsida; Brassicales; Brassicaceae.
CUCAGACUUAACUCAAGUUCUAACUACGGAUGGUGUAUAUCAAACCUGAGUUAGACAUGCUUUUGGGACCACUUCUUGGGAAACGGCUACACCGCCUCUUCAUGAUCGUACCGUUGUCCUUUGUGUCUCCAAGAGUUCAAAAGCACAUUUGGAAUGUUGUGAUAAGCGUGACUUGAUGAUGCAAGACAGCGUUCAAGUUUGGAAGAAACGUUUGCGUUAGGUUAAACACACAAGGUUCAAGACUUUUAUAUAAAUAGAAGGUCUUGUUGUAUUGAGAGGUAAUAAGAGAGAGAAACAAGAUACAGAGAUAGUGUGAAGAGAGAAAACUUGUAAAGGUCUAAGCUUUGUGUUUAGUUUUCUCUAGCUUUAGGAGUUGACAGAGUGAAUCUUGAGUGCUAGUGAAGGGCAUUGAGAUGGGUCACUUGUAGCUCCUUUUGUAACACUAUCUGAAUCUAGUGGAUUCCGAGUUAAAGACUCGGCCAGACGUAGCUACCCUAGUUAACGGGAGUGAACUGGAUAAAGUCUUGUGUGUGCUCCCUUUCUUUAUCUUCUGCUUUGUCUCUUCAACCUUCUCUCUCUCUGGUUCGAACAACAACUCUGUUUCCUCUGUUCUUGUCUUCUGUUCACGUGUUUGUUGAGUCUUCUCCUAAGGAAAGUCGACGCCUUUAGGGCAAAGAAACUUAACAGAGUGGUAUCAGAGCUUAGGCUCAGUGUUUACGGGUCUGUAAAGAUCUUACAACAUCUGGACGAUGUCUUCGGCUCGAAUAGAAGUUGAGAAGUUUGAUGGUCGUGGUGACUAUACGAUGUGGAAAGAGAAACUCAUGGCUCAUCUGGAUAUUCUGGGUCUGAGUGCUGCUCUCAAGGAAACCGAAGCUGUGGAGGUUCAACCUGAUGGAUCUAAGCAGACAGAAGAAGAAGCGAAAGAAAAAGCUGAAAAGAUGGAAGCUUUAGACGAGAAGAGAAGAAAGGCUAGAAGCACCAUCGUCUUAAGCGUAACAGAUAGAGUUCUCAGGAAGAUCAAGAAGGAGCAGACUGCAGCUGCUAUGAUAAGUGCUCUUGACAAACUGUACAUGUCAAAAGCUCUUCCUAAUAGAAUCUAUCUUAAACAGAAGCUCUAUGGAUUCAAGAUGUCUGAGAAUCUGUCCAUAGAAGGCAACAUUGAUGAGUUUCUUCAGAUUAUAACAGAUCUGGAGAACACAAAUGUUGCAAUCUCUGAUGAGGACCAAGCUAUCUUGCUCCUCAUGUCUCUGCCAAAACCCUUUGAUCAGUUAAGAGAUACUUUAAAGUAUGGCACUGGAAGAUCCAUACUGACGUUAGAUGAAGUGAUUGCUGCUAUCUACUCAAAGGAACUUGAGUUUGGAUCUAACAAGAAAAGUAUUAAGGGCCAAGCUGAAGGUCUGUUUGCAAAGGGUAAAGGUGACUCAAGAGGAAGGUCUGAAGGUCGAGAUAGAAACAACAAGUCCUCAAGGACUAGAUCUAAGUCUAGAUCCAAGAAAGGAUGCUGGAACUGUGGUGAAGAUGGGCACUUUAAGGCGUCUUGUCCUAACAAGAGCAAAGGCCAAACUCGACCAAAAGACUAUAACCAUGGAAGAGGAGAGUCAUCUGGUGGCGAUGGAAACCUUGCAGAAGCUACAGGCCUCUAUGUGUCAGAAGCACUAUCUUCAACUGAUGUACAUCUUGAAGAUGAGUGGGUAAUGGACACCGGCUGUAGCUAUCACAUGACUCACAAGAGAGACUGGUUUGAAGAUUUAAAUGAAGAGGCUGGAGGCUCAGUGAGGAUGGGAAAUCAAACUGUCUCAAGAGUAAGAGGAGUUGGUACCGUGAGAGUCAAGAAUGAAGCAGGUCUGAGUGUUCUCUUGACAAACGUCAGGUACAUUCCUGACAUGGAUAGAAAUCUUCUAUCUUUGGGAACUCUGGAGAAAGCAGGCUACAAGUUUGAGUCUGAGAAUGGUAUUCUUAGCGUCAAAGCUGGAGAUCAGAUAUUGCUCGCUGGAAGAAGAUAUGAUACUCAGUAUCUAUUACAGUGGAGACCAGUUACGAACGCAGCUCUCAUUGCAAGACAAGAUGACACGGUCCUGUGGCACAGAAGGCUGGGACAUAUGAGCAUGAAGAACAUGAACAUUCUGCUCAAGAAGGGUUUUCUGGACAGGAAGAAGGUCUCUAACAUGGAACCGUGUGAAGACUGUAUCUAUGGGCGAGCUAAAAGAGUGGGUUUCAACUUGGCUCAGCACGAUACUAGAGAAAAGCUGGAGUAUGUCCACUCUGACCUAUGGGGAGCACCGUCAGUACCACAGUCUUUAGGCAGAAACCAGUACUUCAUCUCCUUUGUAGAUGAUUAUACCCGAAAGGUAUGGGUUUACUUUCUGAAAACGAAAGAUGAAGCCUUUGAGAAGUUUGUAGAGUGGCUCAGUCUGGUGGAAAAUCAAAGUGAGAGGAGGCUAAAGACCUUGAGAACAGACAACGGUCUAGAAUUCUGCAACAGGCAGUUUAAUGAGUUCUGUGAAGCUAAGGGAAUUCAACGUCACAGAACAUGCGCUUACACUCCACAACAAAAUGGAGUUGCAGAGCGCAUGAACAGAACACUCAUGGAGAAGGUGAGAAGCAUACUUAGUGACUCUGGUCUCCCAAAGAGAUUUUGGGCAGAGGCAACACAGACAGCAGCUACUCUCAUCAACAAAACACCCUCAUCAGCUCUGAACUUUGAUAUACCUGACAAGAAGUGGUUUGGAAGAACUCCUGCUUACAGCUAUCUGAGAAGGUUUGGAUGUGUGGCAUUUGUGCACACGGAUGAUGGUAAGCUCAAUCCGAGAGCUAAGAAAGGUGUUCUGGUUGGAUAUCCCCCAGGCGUGAAAGGGUACAAGGUCUGGUUACUCGAAGAGAAAAAAUGUGUAGUGAGCAGGAACGUUUUGUUUCAGGAGAAUGCAUCUUACAAAGAUGUGAUGACAAAACAACCUGACUCGUAUGAGGAAGAAGAUGCUUCUUCAGGCUCAUACCUCGAUCUAGACUUAGAAGCUGAAGAUAGUAUCACCUCAGGUGGAGAAGGUAACAAUGAUCAACUAUCAAGCUCAAGUGUUAGAUCUGUGCCGGGAUCUCCAUCAUCGUCAGUUGGUACAAGUGGCAGCAGUCAUGAUGCUACACGCAAAACGCCUCUGAGCUAUCACCUAGCAAGGGAUCGAGACAGGAGAGACGUAAGACCUCCUAGGCGUUUCGAUGAUGAGGAUUAUUUUGCUGAGGCUUUAUAUACCUCUGAAGAUGGUGGAGAAGUGGAGCCUGAAGACUACAGGGAAGCUACAAGGAGUGUAAACUGGGAAGAAUGGAAAGCUGCCAUGGAUGAUGAAAUGAGAUCUCAAGCCAAAAAUCAUACCUGGACAGUGGUAAAGAGGCCUGAGAAUCAGAGAGUCAUUGGGAGCCGUUGGAUUUACAAGUAUAAACUUGGUAUACCAGGAGUGGAGCAGUCUAGAUUCAAAGCAAGAUUAGUAGCCAAGGGCUAUGCUCAGAGAGAAGGAAUCGACUACCAUGAGAUCUUUGCCCCUGUUGUCAAACAUGUAUCUAUAAGGAUCUUGUUGUCGAUGGUUGUUCAAGAAGAUAUGGAACUAGAGCAACUGGAUGUCAAAACCGCCUUUCUACAUGGUGAGCUAAAUGAGAAGAUUUACAUGGCUCCACCAGAAGGUUUUGAAUCAUUAUUUCAAGAGGAUGAAGUGUGUCUACUCAACAAGUCUCUGUACGGUCUUAAACAAGCACCAAGACAAUGGAAUGAGAAGUUUGAUGCUUAUAUCACAGAGAUUGGGUUUGUAAGAAGUGAGUAUGACAGUUGUGCUUACAUCAAGGAGCUAGCAGACGGGUCAAAGAUGUAUCUUCUCAUCUAUGUAGAUGAUAUGCUAGUAGCAGCCAAGGAUCUAGAAGCUAUUCAACAUCUCAAGAAGGAACUUAGUUUGAAGUUUGAAAUGAAAGACUUGGGUGCUGCUAAAAGGAUACUGGGUAUGGAGAUUGUUAGAGACAGAGCCGCUGGUGAACUAUGGUUGUCACAAGAAAGUUACCUGAACAAGAUCUUAGACACCUAUGGAAUGCUUGAAGCCAAGCCAGUCUCAACACCUCUGGGAGCCCAUCUGAAGCUGAGCUCUGCAACUGAAGAGCAGAUAGCGCAAGAUGAAGAGUUUAUGAAGUCAGUUCCUUAUUCAAAUGCUGUUGGCAGUAUCAUGUACGCAAUGACAGGAACCCGUCUUGAUCUUGCCUAUCCAGUAGGGAUCAUCAGCCGGUACAUGAGCAACCCUAUCAAAGAUCACUGGAAUGGAGUAAAGUGGGUCAUGAGAUAUAUCAAGGGUACUCUGACCACAAAGAUGUUGUUCAAAAGGAGUUCUGAGUUCAAGAUCACUGGUUACUGCGAUGCUGACUUUGCUGCAGACCCUGAUCGAAGAAGAUCAAUCACUGGUUUGGUGUUCACUCUUGGAGGAAACACUAUAAGCUGGAAAUCAGGAUUGCAGCGAGUUGUUGCCUUGUCUACGACAGAGUCUGAGUAUAUGUCGUUGACUGAAGCUGUGAAGGAAGCCGUAUGGCUUAAAGGGUUACUGAAGGAGUUUGGUUAUGAUCAGAAAAGUGUGGAGAUUUUCUGUGAUUCUCAAAGUGCUAUAGCACUCUCCAAGAACAAUGUGCAUCAUGAACGAACGAAGCACAUCGAUGUCAAGUGUCACUACAUACGGGAGAUCAUUGCUAGUGGUGACAUUGAUGUUGUGAAGAUUUCAACUGAGAAGAAUCCGGCUGAUAUCUUCACGAAGACUCUGGCAGUUAGCAAGUUUCAAACCGCUUUGAACUUGCUACAUGUCAGCCCUGAGUAGUAAAACUCAGGGGAUCCGAGUCUUGGAAUCCUGCAACUAGAUUCAAAGGUAUUGUUUCUCUCUCUCUCAAUGUGUGUGUGGAAGUUUGGUUCUGUCAUCACGAUUUCAGGUGGAGAUUUGUGAAGAUGAAACCUUGAUGACCAAGCAACUACCAACUUCAAAGUGUACUCAGACUUAACUCAAGUUCUAACUACGGAUGGUGUAUAUCAAACCUGAGUUAGACAUGCUUUUGGGACCACUUCUUGGGAAACGGCUACACCGCCUCUUCAUGAUCGUACCGUUGUACUUUGUGUCUCCAAGAGUUCAAAAGCACAUUUGGAAUGUUGUGAUAAGCGUGACUUGAUGAUGCAAGACAGCGUUCAAGUUUGGAAGAAACGUUUGCGUUAGGUUAAACACACAAGGUUCAAGACUUUUAUAUAAAUAGAAGGUCUUGUUGUAUUGAGAGGUAAUAAGAGAGAGAAACAAGAUACAGAGAUAGUGUGAAGAGAGAAAACUUGUAAAGGUCUAAGCUUUGUGUUUAGUUUUCUCUAGCUUUAGGAGUUGACAGAGUGAAUCUUGAGUGCUAGUGAAGGGCAUUGAGAUGGGUCACUUGUAGCUCCUUUUGUAACACUAUCUGAAUCUAGUGGAUUCCGAGUUAAAGACUCGGCCAGACGUAGCUACCCUAGUUAACGGGAGUGAACUGGAUAAAGUCUUGUGUGUGCUCCCUUUCUUUAUCUUCUGCUUUGUCUCUUCAACCUUCUCUCUCUCUGGUUCGAACAACAACUCUGUUUCCUCUGUUCUUGUCUUCUGUUCACGUGUUUGUUGAGUCUUCUCCUAAGGAAAGUCGACGCCUUUAGGGCAAAGAAACUUAACAAG